RNAcentral lists this ribosomal RNA (253 nucleotides) under uncultured bacterium. RNAcentral describes it as "partial 16S ribosomal RNA". It matches the Rfam family "Bacterial small subunit ribosomal RNA", at positions 524 to 776 of the family's 1533-position model. The record is from RNAcentral.
UACAGAGGUCCCAAGCGUUGUUCGGAUUCACUGGGCGUAAAGGGUGCGCAGGUGGGUUUGCAAGUUCGAUGUGAAAGCCCCGGGCUUAACCCGGGAAUGGCAUUGGAUACUGCAGAUCUGGAGGAUCGGAGGGGGGACUGGAAUUCUUGGUGUAGCAGUGAAAUGCGUAGAUAUCAAGAGGAACACUAGUGGCGAAGGCGAGUCCCUGGACGAUACCUGACACUGAGGCACGAAAGCUAGGGGAGCAAACAGG